UGGGGAAUAUUGCACAAUGGGCGCAAGCCUGAUGCAGCCAUGCCGCGUGUAUGAAGAAGGCCUUCGGGUUGUAAAGUACUUUCAGUCGGGAGGAAGGUGGUAAGGUUAAUAACCUUAUCAAUUGACGUUACCGACAGAAGAAGCACCGGCUAACUCCGUGCCAGCAGCCGCGGUAAUACGGAGGGUGCAAGCGUUAAUCGGAAUUACUGGGCGUAAAGCGCACGCAGGCGGUUGAUUGAGUCAGAUGUGAAAUCCCCGGGCUUAACCCGGGAAUUGCAUCUGAUACUGGUCAGCUAGAGUCUUGUAGAGGGGGGUAGAAUUCCAUGUGUAGCGGUGAAAUGCGUGGAGAUGUGGGGGAAUACCGGUGGCGAAGGCGGCCCCCUGGACAAAGACUGACGCUCAGGUGCGAAAGCGUGGGGAGCAAACAGG
This 429-nucleotide ribosomal RNA is filed under the name Chloroflexota bacterium. RNAcentral describes it as "Chloroflexi bacterium partial 16S ribosomal RNA". It matches the Rfam family "Bacterial small subunit ribosomal RNA", at positions 355 to 776 of the family's 1533-position model. Lineage: Bacteria; Bacillati; Chloroflexota. The record is from RNAcentral.